UAUCAAUCCUAAGGCAAGUUCUAGGUAGCUAAUCUAGAAACAUGCAUUAAUGAACAAUCCUAAUGACAAUUACCACAAUUCAGCAAUCUAUAGUUGGGGCUAAUCCCUCAUAACUUAUUUAAACCCUAAAUCUAACACUGGAACUACUCAGACAUGGCUAAGCAAUUCAUGAAACCAAUUAGGUUCAAAAACUUCAUGGAAUAGUCAAAUAGAUAUUAAUGGAGUUCCAAUCACAAAUUAUAACUU
RNAcentral lists this long non-coding RNA (246 nucleotides) under Brassica napus (rape). RNAcentral describes it as "long non-coding RNA (BNAP_LNC024151)". Lineage: Eukaryota; Viridiplantae; Streptophyta; Magnoliopsida; Brassicales; Brassicaceae. The record is from RNAcentral.